AGAAUCAACGCUGGCGGCGUGCCUAACACAUGCAAGUCGAACGAGAAAGUGGAGCAAUCCAUGAGUAAAGUGGCGCACGGGUGAGUAACACGUGACUAACCUACCCUUGAGUGGGGAAUAACCUAGGGAACCUGGGCUAAUACCGCAUAACACCUACGGGUCAAAGGAGCAAUUCGCUUAAGGAGGGGGUCGCGGCAGAUUAGCUAGUUGGCGGGGUAAUGGCCCACCAAGGCAGUGAUCUGUA
RNAcentral lists this ribosomal RNA (244 nucleotides) under uncultured bacterium. RNAcentral's name for it is "partial small subunit ribosomal RNA". It matches the Rfam family "Bacterial small subunit ribosomal RNA", at positions 26 to 285 of the family's 1533-position model. The record is from RNAcentral.